Molecule: ribosomal RNA, 253 nt
Filed under: uncultured bacterium
Lineage: Bacteria
Description: partial 16S ribosomal RNA
Rfam family: Bacterial small subunit ribosomal RNA
Source: RNAcentral
GACGCAGGAGGCAAGCGCUCUCCGGAAUUAUUGGGCGUAAAGGGUACGUAGGCGGCUGGUCAAGUCUGGGGUCAAAGGCCACAGCUCAACUGUGGGAAGGCCCUGGAAACUGACCGGCUAGAGUGAGGUAGGGGUUGCGGGAAUUCCCGGUGUAGCGGUGAAAUGCGUAGAGAUCGGGAAGAACACCUGAGGCGGAAGCGCGCAACUGGGCCUCAACUGACGCUGAGGUACGAAAGCUAGGGGAGCGAAUGGG